GACGAACGCUGGCGGCGUGCUUAACACAUGCAAGUCGAACGGAAAGGCCCUGCUGUUGUGGGAUGCUCGAGUGGCGAACGGGCGAGUAACACGUGAGUAACCUGCUCCUGAAUUUGGGAUAAUUACAGGAAACUGGGGUUAAUACUGGAUAGGAGCUCCUGCUGACCGGUGGGGGUUGGAAAGUUCCGGCGGGUUGGGAUGGACUCGCGGCUUAGGAGCUUGUUGGUGGGGGAGUGGCUUACCAAGGCUUUGACGGGUAGACGGCCUGUGAGGGUGACCGGCCACCUGGGGACUGCGAUACGGCCCAGAGUCCAACGGUGGGCAGCGGUGGGGAAUAUUACACAAUGGGCGGAAGCCUAAUGCAGCAACGCCGCGUGCGUGAUGACGGCCUUCGGGUUGUAAACCGCGUACGCCUGUGACGAAGCGUCAGUGACGGUAAUGGGUAAAGAAGCACCGGCUAACUACGUG
RNAcentral lists this ribosomal RNA (468 nucleotides) under uncultured bacterium. RNAcentral's name for it is "partial 16S ribosomal RNA". It matches the Rfam family "Bacterial small subunit ribosomal RNA", at positions 28 to 507 of the family's 1533-position model. The record is from RNAcentral.